UAGGGUUAGAAAGGAUAAGAGAAAUGGGUCGGGCUAGACCUAACCCAUUUCUUUUUGGACCUAACUAGGCUCGAUUUUUGGGUGGUGGUGGUGGUGGCUGUGGCGGCUGUGGCUAUGGGUUUGUGGGCAGUGGUAGAGAUGAGACAGUGAGGAGAUUUUCGGUGUCUGAGAGAAAGAGAGAGAGUGUGGGA
Quercus lobata is the source of this 191-nucleotide long non-coding RNA. RefSeq lists it as uncharacterized. The record is from RefSeq and is a predicted model, not a curated record. NCBI's taxonomy places the organism in Eukaryota, Viridiplantae, Streptophyta, Magnoliopsida, Fagales, Fagaceae. The transcript has 2 exons.